This 253-nucleotide ribosomal RNA is filed under the name uncultured bacterium. Its description in RNAcentral is "partial 16S ribosomal RNA". It matches the Rfam family "Bacterial small subunit ribosomal RNA", at positions 524 to 776 of the family's 1533-position model. The record is from RNAcentral.
UACGAAGGGGGCUAGCGUUGCUCGGAAUCACUGGGCGUAAAGCGCACGUAGGCGGAUUGUUAAGUCAGGGGUGAAAUCCUGGAGCUCAACUCCAGAACUGCCUUUGAUACUGGCGAUCUUGAGUCCGGGAGAGGUGAGUGGAACUGCGAGUGUAGAGGUGAAAUUCGUAGAUAUUCGCAAGAACACCAGUGGCGAAGGCGGCUCACUGGCCCGGUACCGACGCUGAGGUGCGAAAGCGUGGGGAGCAAACAGG